GCUGGCCCCGCCCUUACAUGAAAACCAGGGGUCAGGAUGACACCGAAAAAAGAACUACAGGCACUUGCUAAACCACUUCCUUCCCAUUUGGAGGAGACAGGACUCUGGACAUAUGGAGCUCUGAUUCUGAGCAAAUGGUGGGUUGUCAGUAAAGCUUGUACCACUGAGAAAGGAGAAUCCGUGAAGACAAGAGUUUGCAGACACAAUGCUGUCCAGUUGUGAACUGCUGCAGAAUUCUG
Mus caroli (Ryukyu mouse) is the source of this 239-nucleotide long non-coding RNA. RefSeq lists it as uncharacterized. The record is from RefSeq and is a predicted model, not a curated record. Lineage: Eukaryota; Metazoa; Chordata; Mammalia; Rodentia; Muridae.